This 76-nucleotide transfer RNA is filed under the name Candidatus Peribacteria bacterium RIFCSPHIGHO2_01_FULL_51_35. RNAcentral's name for it is "tRNA-Thr". It matches the Rfam family "tRNA". Rfam says of the family: Transfer RNA (tRNA) molecules are approximately 80 nucleotides in length. Their secondary structure includes four short double-helical elements and three loops (D, anti-codon, and T loops). The record is from RNAcentral. Lineage: Bacteria; Candidatus Peregrinibacteriota; Candidatus Peribacteria. RNAcentral also lists the same sequence under 6 other names.
GCCGACGUAGCUCAGCUGGUAGAGCAACGGUAUCGUAAACCGUGGGUCACCGGUUCAAUUCCGGUCGUCGGCUCCA